This is a non-coding RNA of Stegodyphus mimosarum, 72 nucleotides long. Lineage: Eukaryota; Metazoa; Arthropoda; Arachnida; Araneae; Eresidae. The record is from Rfam.
GUCUUUGUGGUGUAACGGUUAGCACACUCGGCGCGUAACCGAGAGGUCCAGGUUCGAGUUCCAGCGAGGGCA